Molecule: ribosomal RNA, 253 nt
Filed under: uncultured bacterium
Lineage: Bacteria
Description: partial 16S ribosomal RNA
Rfam family: Bacterial small subunit ribosomal RNA
Source: RNAcentral
UACGUAGGUGGCAAGCGUUGUCCGGAUUUACUGGGCGUAAAGAGCGCGCAGGCGGUCGUUCAAGUCGCGUGUGAAAGCCCCCGGCUCAACUGGGGAGGGUCACGCGAUACUGAUCGACUCGAAGGCAGGAGAGGGUAGUGGAAUUCCCGGUGUAGUGGUGAAAUGUGUAGAGAUCGGGAGGAACACCGGUGGCGAAGGCGGUCUUCUGGACGGUGACUGACGCUGAGGCGCGAAAGCGUGGGGAGCAAACGGG